AGAACUAUAAUCAUUAAAACCAGAAUUUCAGGUAAACCUUUACCAUAUAAACGAGGAGUUACCAAAUGAAUGAUUACAAUAACAUAUAUCGUGGUUUCAUUAACCACAAUUACACGGGAUUUUUUAAUGCCAAAUAUGCUAUAACCAUACUGUAAGGUAAUUUACCAAAAUUUUCAUCUAAAUGCAGUAUAAUUUUAAGUGGAAAAAGAAGAGAUAAAACACAAAAAUCGGUUUGAUUUGACAAUUUCUGUCUUUGCUAAAGUAUUAGGCUGAUCGGAAAGUUAUAUUGUUUCGGUGCAUUUACUAAUGUGGGAAGCGUAUUCCAUACGUCAUGCACACGUACAUAGAUCAUUGCGCACCUUCCCCACGCAUAUCAUGGCGCACACCCUUCCCUCCACACACACAUUGUAUGUGAUGGUAGCCGACGAGGCAGGCGGCCUCUUCUAAUAAGUUAAGUGUCUUGUAUUUUGUGUAUUGUCCAGUGUUAUGUCCUAUAUGUGAAUAAAUGUUACUUAACGUAGUUCUGAUGCUCCUUGCCUUCCCCCAUAUUUUGGGGGCACGGCCUUCCCUCUUGCAAUCCUAAGACAACAAUACCCCUAGAUACCUGAAGCUGUCGAAAAAUAAAAUGCACCAAAGACGUUCUACAUUUUAUUUUGAUGAAUUGCAUUAAGACGUUAACAAACAGACGUGUUGUGUUAAAGGCAAUAAAUGAAGUUCUUCUACUGGACGAUAUGUUACAAUAUUUUUUUUUGACGGACGGACUGCACCCAAUACCAAGAGAAUAUUUACAGUUGCAGAUUAAUGUUUCAUUGAAAUGUGAAAAAGCUGUUACUGAUAUUUGUUUAACUAUCGGUAAUGUAUGAAAUUUUUUCUUAUAUUCUAAUAUUUCAGAAGAUUGUAAUGUAAACAGAAAAUUGUAAUACUGUGUUAUGAAAAUGUUUCAUAAUUGUUUUGCUAAAAUUUUUCAGAUUAAUUUUCUAACUAUUUGAUUGUAUUGUAAAAUAUUAGUUAGCUUAAUUUUCAGAUUUUUUUUUAAUUGUUUUGGUAGAUAGUUUUCAGAUUUAAUUUUAUUGCUUGUAACACCAGGCGAGGUCGCCUUCCUGGUCAUGAUGGCCGAUGUGGGAAGCGUAUUCCAUACGUCAUGCACACGUACAUAGAUCAUUGCGCACCUUCCCCACGCAUAUCAUGGCGCACACCCUUCCCUCCACACACACAUUGUAUGUGAUGGUAGCCGACGAGGCAGACGGCCUCUUCUAAUAAGUUAAGUGUCUUGUAUUUUGUGUAUUGUCCAGUGUUAUGUCCUAUAUGUGAAUAAAUGUUACUUAACGUA
Molecule: long non-coding RNA, 1330 nt
Organism: Parasteatoda tepidariorum (common house spider)
Lineage: Eukaryota; Metazoa; Arthropoda; Arachnida; Araneae; Theridiidae
Source: RefSeq, a predicted model, not a curated record